Molecule: ribosomal RNA, 403 nt
Filed under: uncultured bacterium
Lineage: Bacteria
Description: partial 16S ribosomal RNA
Rfam family: Bacterial small subunit ribosomal RNA
Source: RNAcentral
AUUGAACGCUGGCGGCAGGCCUAACACAUGCAAAUCGAGCGAGCGGAGGACGGGUGAGUAAAGUAUGGGGAAUGCCCGAGAGGGGGGGAGAACUACUGGAAAAGGUAGAUAAUACCGCGUACGAUCUGAUAACCCAAAUGGGAUUAGCUGUUAGGUGAGGUAAUGGCUCACCUAGGCGACGAGCCCUAGCUGGUCUGAGAGUCUGAUCAGCCACACUGGGACUGCGACACGGCCCAGACUCCUACGGAGGCAGCAGUGGUGAAUAUUGCACAAUGGGCUCAAGCCUGAUGCAGCCAUGCCGCGUGUAUGAAGAAGGCCCUAGGGUUGUAAAGUACUUUCAGUCGGGAGGCGUUACCGACAGAAGAAGCACCGGCUAACUCCGUGCCAGCAGCCGCGGUAAUUC